UAAAUCCUGCUGAGGUAUAUACAACUCUACAAGCUGGUUCUCAAAUCCUUUUUUUGGAACGAGACUGAAGGAUUUCUGCAUAAAUAAUCAUAGUGGAAUUUUCAAGAUAUUUCAACGGUCUGUGGUGGCCAAAUAUGUGGAAUUGAGGCUGUUCCAGUAAAUCUGGAAUGAAUUGACACUCUAUCCACAGAGUAUGAAACUGUGUGUAGAGUAUGCAUGUGCGCGCGCGUGCACACACACACACAUACACACACACACACACACACAGGAAGAAUUCUUUUCUUGUCCAGACACUGGCAUUGGCAGUGAAACCAUCCAUUCCAAACCAAAGGAGCCCCCUCACCAAUGGCCUUGCCGCCCAGGAACCCUGCAGGGCAGAAGUUGGGGAGGGGAUAGCAGUCUGAAUAGCGGUCUUGGAUGGCUGGAAGCUGGCACCUGUGAACAAGCACCCAUGAUGGUGAUGCAUCCGGAACCAGGCUGCCCAGCCAACCAGUGCUUUCCCACCGGAGCUUUUGCUCUGGGCUCCUCUGCCGUUGAUUUCCCAGGUCCCGCCUUGCAUUUUCUCCCUCAUCUUCACAUGUGGGGAGCCCCUGACCGGCUGCUGAAGACCCCCAGACAAGCCUUCAGCUUCCAGAUCAUGGAAGGCAGCAUGGGGAGGCAGGAGACCCCUGGGAGGGCGGAGCAUGACUUUUGUCCAGGAGGCUGGACUACCGACUUCAGCAGGCUCUGGUUGGCUCUGGAGGACAUCCCUCAAGAAGUGCUGGCAGAUGUUAGAUUCCCGCCACCUGGAGGCCUGACCUCACCUGAGGGCAUCCCUGCCUGUCCAUGUCUUUUGACUGGGUGGGCAGCCCUGCCUACCUCUCUGCAGCUUCAAACACCAGCCGCUUCCACUCAGAGACACUCAAAAUGUGUCGAGGGAGGUUGUCCUCUGGACUCCUGGGAAUUGACCACCAGCAUGCGCUGCUCCGCUGACAAGGGAAAGGGCCCUCUGGCCCGCACAGCAUGGAUAUGGGCAGAACGGUUUUUCCUAACUAGGCCUUCUGGGUUGCAGCAGAACAGCAUGUGUCUGCUUCUCAAAUGUAACAGGACAAGAUGUUCAGGUCUUGUGUCCUCUGUGAAGCAGGGCUGCAAGGACCCCUUACCAAGGAGAAGAUUGUCUCUGGAAACUGCGAAAUCUGACCAGAAGGCCCUUAGCCUCCCAGGCUCUGUAGCUUCUGCAGUGAUGAGGCCUGGCCACCAGAUGGCUCCACAGAGGCCACUGCUCUCUCAGGGAAGAGGAGGCUGGGAAGAUCCAGGGGAGGACAUGGAAUUGGAUUCUCACCUGGGGAAGCUGUGGGAGUAA
RNAcentral lists this long non-coding RNA (1342 nucleotides) under Bos grunniens (domestic yak). Its description in RNAcentral is "lncRNA (ENSBGRG00000024141.1)". Lineage: Eukaryota; Metazoa; Chordata; Mammalia; Artiodactyla; Bovidae. The record is from RNAcentral.